This 252-nucleotide ribosomal RNA is filed under the name uncultured bacterium. RNAcentral describes it as "partial 16S ribosomal RNA". It matches the Rfam family "Bacterial small subunit ribosomal RNA", at positions 524 to 776 of the family's 1533-position model. The record is from RNAcentral.
CACGUAGGGCGCGAGCGUUGUCCGGAAUUAUUGGGCGUAAAGAGCUCGUAGGCGGCCUGUUGCGUCCGCUGUGAAAGCCCGGGGCUUAACCCCGGGUCGGCAGUGGAUACGGGCAGGCUAGAGGUAGGUAGGGAGAAUGGAAUUCCCGGUGUAGCGGUGAAAUGCGCAGAUAUCGGGAGGAACACCGGUGGCGAAGGCGGUUCUCUGGGCCUUACCUGACGCUGAGGAGCGAAAGCGUGGGGAGCGAACAGG